This 1129-nucleotide long non-coding RNA is filed under the name Salmo salar (Atlantic salmon). RNAcentral's name for it is "lncRNA (ENSSSAG00000114089.1)". The record is from RNAcentral. Lineage: Eukaryota; Metazoa; Chordata; Actinopteri; Salmoniformes; Salmonidae.
GAAGAUAGGAGUGUUUCAAGAGUACCUGCUCAGCAUUCUGGAGCAGAAGAGACAGAAGGUGGAAAUCAAGGUUCAGCUGGGAACGAAGAGAAUAUGGCACUACGUCCAACCGGCCUCACAACUGCAGACCACGUGUAACCACGCCAGCUCAGGACCUCCACAUCUGGCUUCUUCACUUGCGGGAUGGUCUGAAAUGAGCUAGCCGGACAGCUGAUAAAACUGUGGGUUUGCACAACCGAAGUCUUUCAGCACAAACUGUCAGAAACCGUCUUAGGGAAGCUCAUCUGUGUGCUUGUUGUCCUCACCAGGGUCUUGACCUGACUACAGUUUAGCGUCGUAAUCAAUAAAAGUGUGCAAAUGCUCACCUUCGAUGGCCACUAGCAAAGGAGAUUUGUGACGCUGCAAUAGGCAAAUGGUGGUCACACCAGAUACUGACUGGUUUUCUGAUCCACACCCCUACCUUUUUUUAAGGUAUCUUUAACCAUCAAAUACAUCAAAUAAAAUUGUAUUAGUCACAUGUGCCAAAUACAACAGGUGUAGACCUUACAGUGAAAUGCUUACUUAUGAGCCACUAACCAACAAUGCAGUUUCAAAAAAAUACAGAUAAGAAUAAGAGAUAAAAGUAACAAGUAAUUAAAGAGCAGCAGUAAAAUAACAAUAGCAAGACUAUAUACAGGGGGUACCGAUACAGAGUCAAUGUGCGGGGGCACCGGUUAGUUGAGGUAGUAUGUACAUGUAGGUAGAGUUAUUAAAGUGACUAUGCAUAGAUGACAACAGAGAGUAGCAGUGGUGUAAAGAGGGGGAGGGGGCAAUGCAAAUAGUCUGGGUAGCCAUUUGACUAGAUCAAUCAAUCAAUCACAUUUAUUUAUAAAGCCCUUUUUACAUCAGCUGAUGUCACAAAGUGCUGAACAGAAACCCAGCCUAAAACCCCAAACAGCAAGCAAUGCAGAUAUAGAAGCAACCCUGAACUAGAUGUUCUGGAGUCUUAUGGCUUGGGGGUAGAAGCUGUUUAGAAACCUCUUGGACCUAGACUUGGCGCUCCGGUACUGCUUUUCAUGCGGGAGCAGAGAGAACAAUCUAUAACUAGGGUGGCUGGAGUAUUUGACAAUUUUUAGGGCCUUCCUCUGAC